GACGAACGCUGGCGGCGUGCUUAACACAUGCAAGUCGAACGGAAAGGCCCUGCUUUUGUGGGGUGCUCGAGUGGCGAACGGGUGAGUAACACGUGAGUAACCUGCCCUUGACUUUGGGAUAACUUCAGGAAACUGGGGCUAAUACCGGAUAGGAGCUCCUGCUGCAUGGUGGGGGUUGGAAAGUUUCGGCGGUUGGGGAUGGACUCGCGGCUUAUCAGCUUGUUGGUGGGGUAGUGGCUUACCAAGGCUUUGACGGGUAGCCGGCCUGAGAGGGUGACCGGCGGAAGGGGGAAUGAGGGACGGAGGAGAGGGGUACGGGAGGAAGGAGGGGGAAGGAGGGAAGAGGGGGGGGGGGGGGGAGACAGCUGCGCCGGGUGAGGAAGGAGGGGGUGCGGGUGGGAAAAAGAGGGCGCCGGAAACGGAGGGGGAGGGAAGGGAAUGGGUAAAGAAGAACAGGAUAACUACGUG
This 468-nucleotide ribosomal RNA is filed under the name uncultured bacterium. RNAcentral's name for it is "partial 16S ribosomal RNA". The stretch from base 20 to 332 matches the Rfam family "Bacterial small subunit ribosomal RNA", at positions 47 to 358 of the family's 1533-position model. The record is from RNAcentral.